RNAcentral lists this ribosomal RNA (540 nucleotides) under Pentapodus setosus (butterfly whiptail). RNAcentral's name for it is "partial 16S ribosomal RNA". It matches the Rfam family "Bacterial large subunit ribosomal RNA", at positions 1857 to 2586 of the family's 2925-position model. Lineage: Eukaryota; Metazoa; Chordata; Actinopteri; Spariformes; Nemipteridae. The record is from RNAcentral.
GCCUGCCCGGUGACUUAUUAUGUUUUAACGGCCGCGGUAUCUUGACCGUGCAAAGGUAGCGCAAUCACUUCGCCCUUUAAAUGGGGGCCCGUAUGAAUGGCAUCACGAGGGCUAAUCUGUCUCCUUUCUCCAGUCAAUGAAAUUGAUCUCCCCGUGCAGAAGCGGGGAUAACCCCAUAAGACGAGAAGACCCUGUGGAGCUUUAGAUACUAGAACUGCCUCUCCUUUAAUAUAGUUAACACAAAGACAUCCAAAUAAGAGACACAGUCUGACUAUCUUUGGUUGGGGCGACCGCGGGGAUUAAAAAAACCCCCAUGUGGAGCAGGAAUAUAAUAUUCCCAAAACCAAGAGUUACCACUCUAACUAACAGAAAUUCUGACCUAAAAAUGAUCCGACAAAGUCGAUCAACGGACCGAGUUACCCCAGGGAUAACAGCGCAAUCCCCUUUAAGAGUUCUUAUCGACAAGGGGGUUUACGACCUCGAUGUUGGAUCAGGACACCCCAAUGGCGCAGCAACUAUUAAAGGUUCGUUUGUUCAACG